CAAUUUAAACAACGAAGAGUUUGAUCCUGGCUCAGGAUGAACGCUAGCGACAGGCUUAACACAUGCAAGUCGAGGGGCAGCACGAUGUAGCAAUACAUUGGUGGCGACCGGCGCACGGGUGAGUAACGCGUAUGCAACCUACCUAUCAGAGGGGAAUAACCCGGCGAAAGUCGGACUAAUACCGCAUAAAACAGGGGUUCCACAUGGAAAUAUUUGUUAAAGAAUUAUCGCUGAUAGAUGGGCAUGCGUUCCAUUAGAUAGUUGGUGAGGUAACGGCUCACCAAGUCCACGAUGGAUAGGGGUUCUGAGAGGAAGGUCCCCCACACUGGUACUGAGACACGGACCAGACUCCUACGGGAGGCAGCAGUGAGGAAUAUUGGUCAAUGGGCGAGAGCCUGAACCAGCCAAGUCGCGUGAAGGAUGAAGGAUCUAUGGUUUGUAAACUUCUUUUAUAUGGGAAUAAAGUGAGGAACGUGUUCCUUUUUGUAUGUACCAUAUGAAUAAGCAUCGGCUAACUCCGUGCCAGCAGCCGCGGUAAUACGGAGGAUGCGAGCGUUAUCCGGAUUUAUUGGGUUUAAAGGGUGCGUAGGUGGUUAAUUAAGUCAGCGGUGAAAGUUUGUGGCUCAACCAUAAAAUUGCCGUUGAAACUGGUUGACUUGAGUAUAUUUGAGGUAGGCGGAAUGCGUGGUGUAGCGGUGAAAUGCAUAGAUAUCACGCAGAACUCCGAUUGCGAAGGCAGCUUACUAAACUAUAACUGACACUGAAGCACGAAAGCGUGGGUAUCAAACAGGAUUAGAUACCCUGGUAGUCCACACAGUAAACGAUGAAUACUCGCUGUUUGCGAUACACAGUAAGCGGCACAGCGAAAGCGUUAAGUAAUCCACCUGGGGAGUACGCCGGCAACGGUGAAACUCAAAGGAAUUGACGGGGGCCCGCACAAGCGGAGGAACAUGUG
This 955-nucleotide ribosomal RNA is filed under the name Parabacteroides distasonis. Its description in RNAcentral is "bacterial SSU rRNA". It matches the Rfam family "Bacterial small subunit ribosomal RNA", at positions 1 to 943 of the family's 1533-position model. Lineage: Bacteria; Pseudomonadati; Bacteroidota; Bacteroidia; Bacteroidales; Tannerellaceae. The record is from RNAcentral.